UACGUAGGGUGCAAGCGUUGUCCGGAAUUACUGGGCGUAAAGCGUGCGCAGGCGGUUUUGUAAGUCUGUCGUGAAAUCCCCGGGCUUAACCUGGGAAUGGCGAUGGAGACUGCAAGGCUGGAAUCUGGCAGAGGGGGGUAGAAUUCCACGUGUAGCAGUGAAAUGCGUAGAGAUGUGGAGGAACACCGAUGGCGAAGGCAGCCCCCUGGGCUAAGAUUGACGCUCAUGCACGAAAGCGUGGGGAGCAAACAGG
Molecule: ribosomal RNA, 253 nt
Filed under: uncultured bacterium
Lineage: Bacteria
Description: partial 16S ribosomal RNA
Rfam family: Bacterial small subunit ribosomal RNA
Source: RNAcentral